UGAUACGUACUGUGCGAACGUUAUUCGGAAUUACUGGGCUUAAAGGGUGUGUAGGCGGCUGAUUAAGUAGGGUGUGAAAGGCUCCGGCCUAACCGGAGCAUUGCGCUCUAAACUGAUCGGCUUGAGUGAGAUAGGGGUGUGCGGAACUUCCAGUGGAGCGGUGAAAUGUGUUGAUAUUGGAAGGAACGCCGGUGGCGAAAGCGGCACACUGGGUCUUAACUGACGCUGAGACACGAAAGCCAGGGGAGCGAACGGGAUUAGAUACCCCGGUAGUCCUGGCUGUAAACGAUGAGCACUAGUUGGGAGGGGCUUCGGCCCAUCCGAACGCAGAGAAAUCAUUAAGUGCUCCGCCUGGGGAGUAUGGUCGCAAGGCUGAAACUUAAAUGAAUUGACGG
This 395-nucleotide ribosomal RNA is filed under the name uncultured bacterium. Its description in RNAcentral is "bacterial SSU rRNA". It matches the Rfam family "Bacterial small subunit ribosomal RNA", at positions 521 to 916 of the family's 1533-position model. The record is from RNAcentral.